GAGAAGGAGAGAAGGGGAGGAGGUGAUGAUUUCCUCUAGUUGACUCCUAAAGGUCUCGUUGCUUUACUGUGUUUAACGAGGGAAAACUUGUUUUUUUACCAGAACUUUGAGUUUUUAUAUUACACCUGUCAAUCAACGUGUAGCCCCGCCCCAAAGCAUACCCUGCGUUAUGGUCUAUCAUAGAGCUGUCACUCAGCUUUAUGGUCGUAUGGAGUUAUUUUCUCAUUGAAGGCCUCCAACCUUUCGAGCCUCCAAUGUUUGUGUGGCGGAUAAACACGGGGCGGUGGGGGUGUAGUUGUGCGCUCUGUCCAGAAAGUAGUGGGCAAUUGUAUAAUGUUUUGAAGGCGCUUGCUGACGUUAAAUAUAUUAACUGUGUCAAGAGGACGACACGUAAUUAGGAGGAGGUGGUUGGUCGCUCGCCCCCUGGUGGUCGCUAUAGAGAUUUAGCUCUAAAUCCAUUUUGAGAACUUAAAGUCAUGAAGCUCUGACUUAAUGUUGUGAACCGGAGGUUCCAACACGAGAGCCUUCGUCGCUCCUCGUCUUCAACUACCUGAAGCACUGAAACGUCACUUCAUAACUUCAUAACUCCUGGACGUCGACAUUUUCCUCUCCCGCUAAGAAGAAGAAGAGAUGCAAAAUGAGCAUGUCGAUCAGAGGAUGGAGACGGCGAAGCUACUGCAGGAGUCCAUUGAAGCCCCGCCUCCUGCUUCAUCACAGGAGACUUCUGCACGUUGGCAGAUUGGAGGAAACUUCUAAACACAGAGAACCCUAAAAGUAAAAAGGAUCCUUCACCUUUUCAGAGGGAACAUCUUCUCUGGUUUGAACCACUUUAAUUCAAGUCUGCAGCGAGGACGAGACGGCUCCUCUGUCUCCUUGUUUCCUUCGGCUGCUGCUGCUGUUUCAAGCUGCACUUCUCUGCUAAAAUGAAGCAAUGUUUCCUCCUGCAGCUCCGCUCUUACAUCUUUCAUGUUCCUCUGCACGAUGCUCCUCCUCCUCACCGUCACAUCUCCUCACCUCAAAGCUAACCUGAUCACCUCUCCACUCCCUCAAAAUCUCACCCUUUUUCUCCUUUUACUUUGAGAGGCAAAUCGACCCGACAGCGUGGCCUCCUCUUCCUCUUCCGCCUCCUCUCUCCUCUCUCCUGCUCUCCACCUCCGUCCAUCAUUCUCCUCGCUCCUCUCUCGGCUGAUGACCUUCUAGCGGUGAACCGUCUCCACUCUGACGGCUCCUCAGUGUUUCUCCUCCUUCGCUGUCACUCCUCAUCCAGCCGCGGUGGACUAACCCAGUACUGUCACCUCCUCUGCCUCCUCCUUUCGUCUCUCGUCCUCCUCACUGGUGAUGACCUUCGACCCACAUUAUGUUUCCACCUCGGUGUCUUUUCUGUUUGCACCUGACGACAUCGUUUGUGUUGACACUGUUUAUUCUCUUUUUUACUGAUUUCACUUGAAAAACGGAAGAAUACAAAUAUUGAUCCACUAAGUAAUGUGAUUAGUGAUUAUGACAUCGCCGUACUUAAGUCACGAUACGAUGACAUCGCCGUACUUAAGUCACGAUAAGAUGACAUCGCCGUACUUAAGUCACGAUACGAUGACAUCGCCGUACUUAAGUCACGAUGCGAUGACAUCGCCGUACUUAAGUCACGAUACGAUGACAUCGCCGUACUUAAGUCACGAUACGAUGACGAUUGGAUGAUAUCCCGACACAAUAUGAUAUUUUCAUACUUUGACCACUACUUUUACCAAUUGAUAAUCAAAGAUUGUCGGGUGAAUAUCUUUGAUUAUCAAUCAAAUUGUGUGAUUCUUCGGUGAGGUCCUGAGGUUCUCGUGCUCUAUAAUUCUGGAUCGGUUCUCCGUCGAUGGAUUCAUUGAUUAAUGUCUUAGGAGAAAUCUGCCUGCUCAUCAGUCCUCCUCCUCUUCCUUAAUAUUGUUCCUCCUCCUCCUCCUCUUUCAUCUUCUUCGUCCUCUUCCUCCUUCUUCCUCGGCAGCGAGCCUCUCGCGGUGCUAACCACAUAAAUGCCGAUGUCAGCGGUGAUGGAUGGGUGGGGGGAGAGCUUACCCAGCAUGCACCGCUGGAAGGCAGUGCCAUUAAUUAUCAUUCGCAGCGGAGGCCUGAAGGGGAGCGAUCCGUCUGCUCCUUCGGAGGGAAGAUCUGAGCGCUGCAACGACUCCCACUACUUCCUGUCCAGAAGAAACCCUGAGACCUGAUCUCAGAGGGACCAGCAGAGUCUGAUCAGAGGAAUGGAAGUAUUACGUUCCUCAGGCAAAGUUUAAGUCAGAGAAUAAUGGACGUUGGUUUUGUGACAAAUGGAUUGUACUGUGCAACUAAAUGAAGUCUGAGAAGAAGAACUUCAUCAAUUAAUCACACAGAGAGGAAAUGACUCUUCAUUAAACGACCAAUUUACUGCAGGAAAUACAUACAUUUGAAUGUUUUAUUUGAAAGUGACAAAGUGGUGAUGUUGUCUACAUCUAAGUGAGCUUUCUGUUAUGGUCGGUUUAAUCGGGACCCAGAUGCAGACAGCGAGACGGCAGAUAGGUGGAACAUUUAUCCAGUGCAGUCCGGAGCGCGAGGCGCUGGUUGUUGCCUGGAGAUCCACACUGGUGGAGAAAGGAUGUGGUGAUGGGACCACUGAAGACCGGGAAAUUUCAUCUGACGAGGGUCCAAUGAACCACAGGCGAGGAGCCACGAUGCCAGCUGAUUGCAGCCACGCCCAAACCACACCCACACACAUGCACUCACACGAGGACAAACGGGCGAGUAGCUGGCGUCACGGUGCAGCCGUGUUAUGGGGAGGAACGUUUCCCCCACAGACUUCUGUCUGACCUAAAGAGUCGCCCUCAGUGGUCAUUAGAGAGAAGGCAUUACAUUACAUUAAAUGUCAUGUAGCUGACGCUUUUAUCCAAAGCAACUUACAAUAAGUGCUUUUCAACCACAAGGAGAUUUUCAAAAAGUGCUACAAUUUGUUAAGUCUUUUAGGCCUUUAAGACCAGAGGAGUCGCCCCCCGGUGGUCACUAGAGACGAUGCAGCCUUCAGACCCCUAUAGGACCAGAGGAGUCGCCCCCCGGUGGUCACUAGAGAGAAUGCUGCCUUCAGACCCCUAUAGGACCAGAGGAGUCGCCCCCCGGUGGUCACUAGAGAGAAUGCUGCCUUCAGACCCCUAUAGGACCAGAGGAGUCGCCCCCUGGUGGUCACUAGAGAGAAUGCUGCCUUCAGACCCCUAUAGGACCAGAGGAGUCGCCCCCUGGUGGUCACUAGAGACGAUGCAGCCUUCAGACCCCUAUAGGACCAGAGGAGUCGCCCCCUGGUGGUCACUAGAGACGAUGCAGCCUUCAGACCCCUAUAGGACCAGAGGAGUCGCCCCCUGGUGGUCACUAGAGACGAUGCAGCCUUCAGACCCCUAUAGGACCAGAGGAGUCGCCCCCCGGUGGUCACUAGAGAGAAUGCAGCCUUCAGACCCCUAUAGGACCAGAGGAGUCGCCCCCUGGUGGUCACUAGAGACGAUGCAGCCUUCAGACCCCUAUAGGACCAGAGGAGUCGCCC
Gasterosteus aculeatus aculeatus (three-spined stickleback) is the source of this 3538-nucleotide long non-coding RNA. Lineage: Eukaryota; Metazoa; Chordata; Actinopteri; Perciformes; Gasterosteidae. The record is from Ensembl.